GCCUACGGCCAUACCACCCUGAAAGCGCCUGAUCUCGGAAGCUAAGCAGGGACGGGCUUGGUUAGUACCUUGAUGGGAGACCGCCUGGGAAUACCAGGUGUUUUAGGCU
RNAcentral lists this ribosomal RNA (109 nucleotides) under Xenopus tropicalis (tropical clawed frog). Lineage: Eukaryota; Metazoa; Chordata; Amphibia; Anura; Pipidae. The record is from RNAcentral.